Molecule: ribosomal RNA, 242 nt
Filed under: uncultured bacterium
Lineage: Bacteria
Description: partial 16S ribosomal RNA
Rfam family: Bacterial small subunit ribosomal RNA
Source: RNAcentral
GAUCAUGGCUCAGGAUGAACGCUGGCGGCGUGCCUAACACAUGCAAGUCGAGCGAUCUUCUUCGGAAGAGAGCGGCGGACGGGUGAGUAACGCGUGGGUAACCUGCCCUGUACACACGGAUAACAUACCGAAAGGUAUGCUAAUACGAGAUAAUAUACUUUUAUCGCAUGGUAGAAGUAUCAAAGUUCCGGCGGUACAGGAUGGACCCGCGUCUGAUUAGCUAGUUGGUAAGGUAACGGCUU